RNAcentral lists this ribosomal RNA (429 nucleotides) under Gemmatimonadota bacterium. Its description in RNAcentral is "Gemmatimonadetes bacterium partial 16S ribosomal RNA". It matches the Rfam family "Bacterial small subunit ribosomal RNA", at positions 355 to 776 of the family's 1533-position model. Lineage: Bacteria; Pseudomonadati; Gemmatimonadota. The record is from RNAcentral.
UAGGGAAUCUUCGGCAAUGGACGAAAGUCUGACCGAGCAACGCCGCGUGAGUGAAGAAGGUUUUCGGAUCGUAAAACUCUGUUGUUAGAGAAGAACGAGGACGUUAUUAACUGAACGUCCCCUGACGGUAUCUAACCAGAAAGCCACGGCUAACUACGUGCCAGCAGCCGCGGUAAUACGUAGGUGGCAAGCGUUGUCCGGAUUUAUUGGGCGUAAAGCGAGCGCAGGCGGUUUCUUAAGUCUGAUGUGAAAGCCCCCGGCUCAACCGGGGAGGGUCAUUGGAAACUGGGAGACUUGAGUGCAGAAGAGGAGAGUGGAAUUCCAUGUGUGGCGGUGAAAUGCGUAGAUAUAUGGAGGAACACCAGUGGCGAAGGCGGCUCUCUGGUCUGUAACUGACGCUGAGGCUCGAAAGCGUGGGGAGCAAACAGG